CCUACGGGUGGCAGCAGUGGGGAAUAUUGGACAAUGGGGGGAACCCUGAUCCAGCCAUGCCGCGUGUGUGAAGAAGGCCCUCGGGUUGUAAAGCACUUUCAGUGAGGAAGAACGCCUGGUGGUUAAUACCCAUCAGGAAAGACAUCACUCACAGAAGAAGCACCGGCUAACUCCGUGCCAGCAGCCGCGGUAAUACGGAGGGUGCGAGCGUUAAUCGGAAUUACUGGGCGUAAAGCGCGCGUAGGUGGCUUGAUAAGCCGGUUGUGAAAGCCCCGGGCUCAACCUGGGAACGGCAUCCGGAACUGUCAAGCUAGAGUGCAGGAGAGGAAGGUAGAAUUCCCGGUGUAGCGGUGAAAUGCGUAGAGAUCGGGAGGAAUACCAGUGGCGAAGGCGGCCUUCUAGACUGACACUGACACUGAGGUGCGAAAGCGUGGGUAGCAAACAGGAUUAGAUACCCUUGUAGUC
Molecule: ribosomal RNA, 465 nt
Filed under: Vreelandella stevensii
Lineage: Bacteria; Pseudomonadati; Pseudomonadota; Gammaproteobacteria; Oceanospirillales; Halomonadaceae
Description: partial 16S ribosomal RNA
Rfam family: Bacterial small subunit ribosomal RNA
Source: RNAcentral